This 425-nucleotide ribosomal RNA is filed under the name uncultured bacterium. RNAcentral's name for it is "bacterial SSU rRNA". It matches the Rfam family "Bacterial small subunit ribosomal RNA", at positions 356 to 773 of the family's 1533-position model. The record is from RNAcentral.
GGGGAAUUUUGGACAAUGGACGCAAGUCUGAUCCAGCAAUGCCGCGUGCAGGACGAAGGCCUUCGGGUUGUAAACUGCUUUUGUACGGAACGAAAAGCCUUCUUCUAAUACAGGAGGGUCAUGACGGUACCGUAAGAAUAAGCACCGGCUAACUACGUGCCAGCAGCCGCGGUAAUACGUAGGGUGCAAGCGUUAAUCGGAAUUACUGGGCGUAAAGCGUGCGCAGGCGGUUGUGCAAGACAGGUGUGAAAUCCCCGAGCUUAACUUGGGAAUUGCACUUGUGACUGCACGGCUAGAGUGCGGCAGAGGGGGAUGGAAUUCCGCGUGUAGCAGUGAAAUGCGUAGAUAUGCGGAGGAACACCGAUGGCGAAGGCAAUCCCCUGGGCCUGCACUGACGCUCAUGCACGAAAGCGUGGGGAGCAAAC